CCCCCUUCUCGUUCCUUUUUCCCCCAGCCGCCGCAAUGUUCCGCCCACCCUGGCAACACCGUCGUCGACCUGGCCCGUCCAGAUCGGCCGGCAAAGCGCUGCCACCCCCACCCUCUUCAUCAAGCAUGCCGCCUCCCUGCACCCCUAACCCAUGCCGCCCCUCCCGCACCCCGAGUCCUUGACCCACGCCGCCACCUAGUCCCCUCGACGGCCGGCACCCGCGCGCCCUCCGACCCAUGCCGCCACCCAGUCCCCAUCGGCGACGACCUACACCCACGCUUCUGACGUCUCACGCUGCCACCCAGUCCCCAUCGGUGAUGACCUACACCAGCAAUCCACGCCGCCGCCCGUCCCCAUCGAUCCACUUUGCAACCAUGCCCCCACCCAGAACCGCCGCCCCAUUCCUCGAGCACGACGCUGCCUCAGCCCCCUCACCACCCAUGUCGCUGUCCCAAUCCCCCACCACGAAACCUCCCCAUUCCCUUCGCCAUUGCCGCCUCUGCUUCGCAUCGCAUAGUAGCACGACGUCUUGUGUCAAAGGAGAAGGUCCAAGUGAAGUGUUUGAGUUUUUGUCAAACCAAUAGCAACAUCCUCAGAGUGAGUCGCAGCUACAGGCCGCCCUUGAGCUCUGUUCAUACUUUUUUUAUUGUGUUGUGACAUGCAGGUUUUUGUUGUUGUGUUGAUUUAUUAAAUUUGGCUAUGAGUCUAACUGGAUCUGAUAGGUAAGAGGCUCAAGCUGAACCCCUGACCCUCUUAUGUCUCUCCAUGUGCCUUCUUAUCCGGUGAAGGAUACACCAGCGCCAGCCACGUACUGGUCAAGAUCGAUGGUUAGUGGCCCUGCUCUGCCCGCAUAUAGCCUUAAUGGGGAUGCUGUCUAUGUUAGCUUAGUGCAGAAUUAGAUAAGGCCAGGUCAUCGGUAUAAUUCUUUUGCAUCCACAAAUUUGAAGAGGUGUGUUUUGUGAGCUAAAAGGAUGUUCUGUUGGGUUCUGUUUCUCUGUGUUCUAUUUCUAUUAACUGAAACAAGAUGUUAUAUUUGGCGCUUUUGUCUAUGGUGCAAUAACCUACAAAUGUAUGCCUAUGUGUGCAUGGGCAUACAUGAAGGAUCGUUGUGUUGUAAUACUGUACUUGUGAACCUAUAUAUGCUUGUAUACAUCAUGGAUUGUUGAGAUACAUAUAUUAUGUCUAAUUGAUGCAACUUUAAUUACUA
Triticum dicoccoides is the source of this 1207-nucleotide long non-coding RNA. RefSeq lists it as uncharacterized. Lineage: Eukaryota; Viridiplantae; Streptophyta; Magnoliopsida; Poales; Poaceae. The record is from RefSeq and is a predicted model, not a curated record. The transcript is spliced from 3 exons.